UAUCAUGUAGGGAAUCUUCGGCAAUGGACGAAAGUCUGACCGAGCAACGCCGCGUGAGUGAAGAAGGUUUUCGGAUCGUAAAACUCUGUUGUUAGAGAAGAACAAGUGAGAGAGUUACUGUUCUCACCUUGACGGUAUCUAACCAGAAAGCCACGGCUAACUACGUGCCAGCAGCCGCGGUAAUACGUAGGUGGCAAGCGUUGUCCGGAUUUAUUGGGCGUAAAGCGAGCGCAGGCGGUUUCUUAAGUCUGAUGUGAAAGCCCUCGGCUCAACCGAGGAAGGUCAUUGGAAACUGGGGAACUUGAGUGCAGAAGA
Molecule: ribosomal RNA, 315 nt
Filed under: uncultured Vagococcus sp.
Lineage: Bacteria; Bacillati; Bacillota; Bacilli; Lactobacillales; Enterococcaceae
Description: bacterial SSU rRNA
Rfam family: Bacterial small subunit ribosomal RNA
Source: RNAcentral